This 480-nucleotide ribosomal RNA is filed under the name uncultured bacterium. Its description in RNAcentral is "bacterial SSU rRNA". It matches the Rfam family "Bacterial small subunit ribosomal RNA", at positions 32 to 507 of the family's 1533-position model. The record is from RNAcentral.
AACGCUAGCGGCAGGCUUAACACAUGCAAGUCAGGGGCAGCACGAUGUAGCAAUACAUGGGUGGCGACCGGCGCAUGGGUGCGUAACACGUAUGGAACCUGCCCUGUACUGGGAGAUAGCCCUCCGAAAGGAGGAUUAAUAUCCCAUAACAGAUCGAGUGGCAUCACUUGGUCUUAAAAGCUCCGGCGGGUACAGGAUGGCCAUGCGCACGAUUAGCUAGUAGGUGAGGUAACGGCUCACCUAGGCUACGAUCGUUAGGGGGCCUGAGAGGGUUAUCCCCCACACUGGUACUGAGACACGGACCAGACUCCUACGGGAGGCAGCAGUGUGGAAUAUUGCGCAAUGGAGGCAACUCUGACGCAGCCAUGCCGCGUGCAGGAAGAAGGCGCUACGCGUUGUAAACUGCUUUAACCGGGAAGAAACCCCAGGACGUGUCCUGGGUUGACGGUACCGGCGGAAUAAGCACCGGCUAACUUCGUG